RNAcentral lists this ribosomal RNA (255 nucleotides) under uncultured bacterium. RNAcentral's name for it is "partial 16S ribosomal RNA". It matches the Rfam family "Bacterial small subunit ribosomal RNA", at positions 524 to 776 of the family's 1533-position model. The record is from RNAcentral.
UACGGAGGGUGCAAGCGUUAUCCGGAUUCACUGGGUUUAAAGGGUGUGUAGGCGGAUAUUUAAGUCAGAGGUGAAAUCUCCAGGCUCAACCUGGAAACUGCCUUUGAUACUAUUUAUCUUGAAUUUUGUUGAGGUAGGCGGAAUAUAUCAUGUAGCGGUGAAAUGCAUAGAUAUGGAUAUAGAACACCGAUUGCGAAGGCAGCUUACGUAAGCAAACAUUGACGCUGAGGCACGAAAGCGUGGGGAUCAAACAGG